GAUGAACGCUGGCGGCGUGCCUAAUACAUGCAAGUCGAGCGAACAGACGAGGAGCUUGCUCCUCUGACGUUAGCGGCGGACGGGUGAGUAACACGUGGAUAACCUACCUAUAAGACUGGGAUAACUUCGGGAAACCGGAGCUAAUACCGGAUAAUAUAUUGAACCGCAUGGUGCAAUAGUGAAAGACGGUGUUGCUGUCACUUAUAGAUGGAUCCGCGCCGCAUUAGCUAGUUGGUAAGGUAACGGCUUACCAAGGCGACGAUGCGUAGCCGACCUGAGAGGGUGAUCGGCCACACUGGAACUGAGACACGGUCCAGACUCCUACGGGAGGCAGCAGUAGGGUAUCUUCCGCAAUGGGCGAAAGCCUGACGGAGCAACGCCGCGUGAGUGAUGAAGGUCUUCGGAUCGUAAAACUCUGUUAUUAGGGAAGAACAAAUGUGUACGUAACUAUGCACGUCUUGACGGUACCUAAUCAGAAAGCCACGGCUAACUACGUG
This 497-nucleotide ribosomal RNA is filed under the name uncultured bacterium. Its description in RNAcentral is "partial 16S ribosomal RNA". It matches the Rfam family "Bacterial small subunit ribosomal RNA", at positions 28 to 507 of the family's 1533-position model. The record is from RNAcentral.